This 315-nucleotide ribosomal RNA is filed under the name uncultured bacterium. RNAcentral describes it as "bacterial SSU rRNA". It matches the Rfam family "Bacterial small subunit ribosomal RNA", at positions 28 to 334 of the family's 1533-position model. The record is from RNAcentral.
GAUGAACGCUAGCUACAGGCUUAACACAUGCAAGUCGAGGGGCAGCAUGGUCUUAGCUUGCUAAGGCCGAUGGCGACCGGCGCACGGGUGAGUAACACGUAUCCAACCUGCCGUCUACUCUUGGACAGCCUUCUGAAAGGAAGAUUAAUACAAGAUGGCAUCAUGAGUUCACAUGUUCACAUGAUUAAAGGUAUUCCGGUAGACGAUGGGGAUGCGUUCCAUUAGGUUGUUGGCGGGGUAACGGCCCACCAAGCCUUCGAUGGAUAGGGGUUCUGAGAGGAAGGUCCCCCACAUUGGAACUGAGACACGGUCCAA